This 882-nucleotide ribosomal RNA is filed under the name uncultured bacterium. RNAcentral's name for it is "bacterial SSU rRNA". It matches the Rfam family "Bacterial small subunit ribosomal RNA", at positions 20 to 916 of the family's 1533-position model. The record is from RNAcentral.
UGGCUCAGGACGAACGCUGGCGGCGUGCCUAACACAUGCUAGUCGAACGGAGUAAAGCCCUUCGGGACUUUACUUAGUGGCGAACGGGUGAGUAACGCGUGAGGAACCUGCCUUUCAGUGGGGGACAACAGUUGGAAACGACUGCUAAUACCGCAUGACGCUUCUUGGGGGCAUCCCUGAGAAGUCAAAGAUUUAUUGCUGAAAGAUGGCCUCGCGUCUGAUUAGCUAGUUGGCGGGGUAACGGCCCACCAAGGCGACGAUCAGUAGCCGGUCUGAGAGGAUGAACGGCCACAUUGGGACUGAGAUACGGCCCAGACUCCUACGGGAGGCAGCAGUGGGGAAUAUUGGGCAAUGGGGGAAACCCUGACCCAGCAACGCCGCGUGAAGGAAGAAGGCCUUCGGGUUGUAAACUUCUUUUAGCAGGGACGAAGGACGUGACGGUACCUGCAGAAAAAGCAACGGCUAACUACGUGCCAGCAGCCGCGGUAAUACGUAGGUUGCAAGCGUUGUCCGGAAUUACUGGGUGUAAAGGGCGUGUAGGCGGAGCUGCAAGUCAGAUGUGAAAUCCCGGGGCUCAACCCCGGAACUGCAUUUGAAACUGUAGCCCUUGAGUAUCGGAGAGGCAAGCGGAAUUCCUAGUGUAGCGGUGAAAUGCGUAGAUAUUAGGAGGAACACCAGUGGUGAAGGCGGCUUGCUGGACGACAACUGACGCUGAGGCGCGAAAGCGUGGGGAGCAAACAGGAUUAGAUACCCUGGUAGUCCACGCUGUAAACGAUGAAUACUAGGUGUGGGAGGACUGACCCCUUCCGUGCCGCAGUUAACACAAUAAGUAUUCCACCUGGGGAGUACGACCAAAGGGUUGCAACUCAAAGGAAUUGACGG